GCCAGACUAGCUCCAACAGGGCAGAGCGGACUCCUAACAGGCUCAGCUGUUACACCUGUGCCAUGGCUGCAACCCUGUGCUCCUCUCGCCCAGGCACGGCACAGGCUCACCACGCAGGGAACACGCCUCUCACCCAGGCACGGCGCAGGCUCACCACUCAGGGAACACGCCUCUCGCCCAGGCACGGCGCAGGCUCACCACACAGGGAACACGCCUCUCGCCCAGGCACGGCGCAGGCUCACCACGCAGGGAACACGCCUCUCGCCCAGGCACGGCGCAGGCUCACCACGCAGGGAACACGCCUCUCGCCCAGGCACGGCGCAGGCUCACCACGCAGGGAACACGCCUCUCGCCCAGGCAUGGCGCAGGCUCACCACGCAGGGAACACGCCUCUCGCCCACAGCGCAGCCUUGAUCUCGCAGGUUCAAGCAACCCUCCUGCCUCCCAAAGUGUUGGAAUUACAGCUGUAAGCCACUGUGCGCAACCAACCUUUCUUCCUUUUAAUGUAUGCAUUUGAAGUUACACAUUUCCUCUAAACCCUGCUUCAGAUGCACCCCACACAUCUGGUCACUUAACGAGCAUACGGUCUCUGGGUGUUUUCCUGUCACUGAUUCCCACUUUAAUCCACUGUGGAGAUGCCUUGAGACUUGCUGUACGACCCAACGUGGAGUCCACUUUAAUAAACGCCCACUUGAACAGAU
Molecule: long non-coding RNA, 701 nt
Organism: Pan troglodytes (chimpanzee)
Lineage: Eukaryota; Metazoa; Chordata; Mammalia; Primates; Hominidae
Exons: 2
Source: RefSeq, a predicted model, not a curated record